CCUACGGGCGUCAGCAGUAGGGAAUAUUGCUCAAUGGGGGAAACCCUGAAGCAGCAACGCCGCGUGGAGGAUGAAGGUUUUCGGAUUGUAAACUCCUUUUGUUAGAGAAGAUAAUGACGGUAUCUAACGAAUAAGCACCGGCUAACUCCGUGCCAGCAGCCGCGGUAAUACGGAGGGUGCCAGCGUUACUCGGAAUCACUGGGCGUAAAGAGCGCGUAGGCGGGAUAGCAAGUCAGAUGUGAAAUCCUAGGGCUUAACCAUAGAACUGCAUUUGAAACUGUUAUUCUAGAGUAUGGGAGAGGUAGGUGGAAUUCUUGGUGUAGGGGUAAAAUCCGUAGAGAUCAAGAGGAAUACUCAUUGCGAAGGCGACCUGCUAGAACAUAACUGACGCUGAUGCGCGAAAGCGUGGGGAGCAAACAGGAUUAGAUACCCGAGUAGUC
Molecule: ribosomal RNA, 440 nt
Filed under: uncultured bacterium
Lineage: Bacteria
Description: partial 16S ribosomal RNA
Rfam family: Bacterial small subunit ribosomal RNA
Source: RNAcentral